Non-coding RNA from Acanthosepion pharaonis, 111 nucleotides. Lineage: Eukaryota; Metazoa; Mollusca; Cephalopoda; Sepiida; Sepiidae. The record is from the annotation of a GenBank genome assembly.
UAUGGCCACAUCACGUUGAAAUACCGGUUCUUAUAUGAUCACCAAAGUUAAGCAAUGUCAAGCCUAGUCAGUACCUAGAUGGGUGACUACUUUGGAAUACCAGGUACUGUA